Long non-coding RNA from Saccostrea echinata, 1434 nucleotides. RefSeq lists it as uncharacterized. The transcript is spliced from 3 exons. The record is from RefSeq and is a predicted model, not a curated record. NCBI's taxonomy places the organism in Eukaryota, Metazoa, Mollusca, Bivalvia, Ostreida, Ostreidae.
AAGUCAAGUACACAAAAAAUGCAUACGUCAUUUUUACUUUCGCUUUUAACUUGCAGCCGAGCUAUCGACAAUCAUUCAUUUGAAAGUGAUCAGGCUAUGUGUAAAUAUCUUCAAUGGCAGAAUCGGUAACAGGGUUUAGAUUAGAAAGUAGAGACGAAAAGUGUAUACGAGGUUGGGUUUUGUCAGAGGAAAUCCUUCAGCAAUUCAUUGAACAGUUGAAGUACUUUCAAUCAGCACGGGAUGUCAAUAUGUGUCGUGGUCAAUAUAUACCAGAUACCACACUUGUACAGUUCUGGAGAAUAACAUACUAAUGAGAAGCUGUUGAGAGAAUAUCCAGUUUUAGGCAUGCACAUCUUAAAUCAAUGUCUUAAUGAAGAAGGCCAUAUAUUCCUUGGUCUGUGUUUGGGAACUGGAAUGCCAAUUAAUAGAAGAGGCAGAGAAAAGAUCAGUCAACAAACAGAAAUGUCUAUGAAGAAGGCCAAAAGAAAACAAAACAAUUGAAAUGCAUACAUGUAUUGCAUGCUGGUAUUACUGUAUAAGUACUAAUUAUCUGCAAUCUUAAUGUCACAUUUAAUGCAUUGCUGAUGCAUGUAGUUACAAUAAACAUAACUGGUGUUAUAUUUGAAAUUUAAGAAUUUGUUUAAUUGUUACCAUAUGUGCAAGUUAAAGUGAAUUCUAUUUAACUAUAAAUUUUAAAGAAUUUAAAUGACAAUUAAUCGGUAAUCAUUUCUUAUAUAUUUUUGGGUCACCUGAGUUACUCAGGUGACCUAUUGCUAUCUCUUUUCGUCCGUCGCUGUGCGGCGUGUCAUCCAUCGGUCGUAAACUUUUGAACAUUUUCAGCUUCUUCUCUGGAACCAGUGAACCAAUUUCAACCAAUUUUGGCAUAUAGCAUCUAUGGAUGAAGGGGAACAAAAAUUGUGAAAUUUGUGGCUCCUGCCCCCCUGGGGCCUGAGGGGUGGAGCCAAAACCAUCAAAAUUAAUGCAAUCUUUAUAAAUCUUCUUUACUCCUGGGUAUUAUUUAAACAAAUUAAAUACAUAGUUAUGAUAAGCAAGGUUGCCUCUUCCAAAAUCGUGAAAUUCAUGGCCCCUGGAUCAGGGGUUCUGGUGUUAGGGUGGGGCUCUAUUGAUUAUAAAGUGAAAAUGUUUUAAUUUUUUAAAGAUCUUCUUCUCUACACCUGGGUAUUAUUUAAACAAACUAAGUACAUUGUUAUGAUAAGCAAGGAUGCCUCUUCCAAAAUUGUGAAAUUCAUGGCCCCAGGGACAGGGGUUCUGGUGCUAGGGCGGGGCUAUAUAGAUCCUAUAGUGAAGGUGCAUUAUUUCUUUGAAAAUCUUCUUUUCUGCCCCUGUGUAUUAUUUAAACAAACUAAGUACAUUGUUAUGAUACGCAAGGAUGCCUCUUCCAAAAUUGUGAAUUUCAUGACCCCAGGUUCAAGG